Molecule: ribosomal RNA, 1439 nt
Filed under: metagenome
Description: SSU rRNA
Rfam family: Eukaryotic small subunit ribosomal RNA
Source: RNAcentral
GUUGACCCUGCCAGUAGCAUAUGCUUGUCUCUGAGACUAAGCCAUGCAUGUCUAAGUAUAAAUUAAUUUUUACGGUGAAACUGCGGACGGCUCAUUAAAUCAGUUAUAACCUACUUGAUCGUGUGACUUUAUUCGGAUAACCCUAGUAAUUCUAGAGCUAAUACGUGCUAAAAGCCUUAACUUCCAGCAAUGGGGGAAGAGGUGUAUUUAUUAGAAACUAAAACCAAUCAGCUUCGGCUGUUUGAGAUGAUUCAUAAUAACUCGGCAAAUUACGGGAAAAUUCCUGUGAUGAUUCAAACGGAUUUCUGACCUAUCAACUUUAGAUGGCAAAGUAGGGGUUUGCCAUGGUGACAACGGGUGACGGGGAAUUAGGGUUCGAUUCCGGAGAGGGAGCCUGAGAAACGGCUACCACUUCCAAGGAAGGCAGCAGGCGCGCAAAUUACCCAAUGCUAAUUCGGCGAGGUAGUGACAAGAAAUACCAAUGUAGGACCCAACGGGUACUACGUUUGGAAUGAGAACAAUUUAAAAACCUUAACGAGGAACAAUUGGAGGGCAAGUCUGGUGCCAGCAGCCGCGGUAAUUCCAGCUCCAAUAGUGUAUAUUAAAGUUGCUGCGGUUAAAAAGCUCGUAGUUGGAUUACGAAGUGGUGUUUAAAUGUCAUUUUGGUUUGUUUGUCUUUCGGGGCAUUCAGGUCAACUUGGCUUUUACUCACUGUUGUCAUUGUCUUUGCCCAAGGUAUAUGCCUUGUGUGCAUGGCAUUGACCUUCUAUUUUAUGGUAAUGUUGUAUCUUUCGGGGUACAUUCAUUCCAUAUAGUUUACUUUGAAAAAAUUAGGGUGUUUAAAGCAGGCGAAAAGGCUUCGGAAUAUAUUAGCAUGGGAUAAUAGAAUACGAUCUAGGUCGUAAUUUGUUGGUUUCUACGGCUUAGGUAAUGAUUGACAGGGAUAGUUGGGGUCGCUCGUAUUGAGUUGUCAGAGGUGAAAUUCUAGGAUUAACUCAAGACGAACUAAUGCGAAAGCAUUCGGCAAGGAUGUUUUCAUUAAUCAAGAACGAAAGUUGGGGGAUCGAAGAUGAUCAGAUACCGUCGUAGUCUCAACUGUAAACUAUGUCGACCGAGGAUCCGGUAGCGUUACAUGGAUGACCUUCCGGGCACUCUGUGAGAAAUCAUAAGUAUUUGGAUUUCGGGGGGAGUAUGGUCGCAAGGCUGAAACUUAAAGGGAUUGACGGAAGGGCACCACCAGGAGUGGAAUCUGCGGCUUAAUUUGACACAACACGGGAAAACUUACCAGGUCCGGACACAGUGAGGAUUGACAGAUUGAGAGCUCUUUCUUGAUUUUGUGGGUGGUGGUGCAUGGCCGUUUUUAGUUGGUGGAGUGAUUUGUCUGGUUAAUUCCGUUAACGAACGAGACCUUAACCUAUUAAAUAGCUGCGCGAACCCUG